This 1288-nucleotide ribosomal RNA is filed under the name Salmonella enterica subsp. enterica serovar Thompson. RNAcentral's name for it is "partial 23S ribosomal RNA". It matches the Rfam family "Bacterial large subunit ribosomal RNA", at positions 1660 to 2925 of the family's 2925-position model. Lineage: Bacteria; Pseudomonadati; Pseudomonadota; Gammaproteobacteria; Enterobacterales; Enterobacteriaceae. RNAcentral also lists the same sequence under 3 other names. The record is from RNAcentral.
CAGGUGGUCAGGUAGAGAAUACCAAGGCGCUUGAGAGAACUCGGGUGAAGGAACUAGGCAAAAUGGUGCCGUAACUUCGGGAGAAGGCACGCUGACACGUAGGUGAAGUGAUUUACUCAUGGAGCUGAAGUCAGUCGAAGAUACCAGCUGGCUGCAACUGUUUAUUAAAAACACAGCACUGUGCAAACACGAAAGUGGACGUAUACGGUGUGACGCCUGCCCGGUGCCGGAAGGUUAAUUGAUGGGGUCAGCGCAAGCGAAGCUCCUGAUCGAAGCCCCGGUAAACGGCGGCCGUAACUAUAACGGUCCUAAGGUAGCGAAAUUCCUUGUCGGGUAAGUUCCGACCUGCACGAAUGGCGUAAUGAUGGCCAGGCUGUCUCCACCCGAGACUCAGUGAAAUUGAACUCGCUGUGAAGAUGCAGUGUACCCGCGGCAAGACGGAAAGACCCCGUGAACCUUUACUAUAGCUUGACACUGAACAUUGAGCCUUGAUGUGUAGGAUAGGUGGGAGGCUUUGAAGUGUGGACGCCAGUCUGCAUGGAGCCGACCUUGAAAUACCACCCUUUAAUGUUUGAUGUUCUAACGUGGACCCGUAAUCCGGGUUGCGGACAGUGUCUGGUGGGUAGUUUGACUGGGGCGGUCUCCUCCUAAAGAGUAACGGAGGAGCACGAAGGUUGGCUAAUCCUGGUCGGACAUCAGGAGGUUAGUGCAAUGGCAUAAGCCAGCUUGACUGCGAGCGUGACGGCGCGAGCAGGUGCGAAAGCAGGUCAUAGUGAUCCGGUGGUUCUGAAUGGAAGGGCCAUCGCUCAACGGAUAAAAGGUACUCCGGGGAUAACAGGCUGAUACCGCCCAAGAGUUCAUAUCGACGGCGGUGUUUGGCACCUCGAUGUCGGCUCAUCACAUCCUGGGGCUGAAGUAGGUCCCAAGGGUAUGGCUGUUCGCCAUUUAAAGUGGUACGCGAGCUGGGUUUAGAACGUCGUGAGACAGUUCGGUCCCUAUCUGCCGUGGGCGCUGGAGAACUGAGGGGGGCUGCUCCUAGUACGAGAGGACCGGAGUGGACGCAUCACUGGUGUUCGGGUUGUCAUGCCAAUGGCACUGCCCGGUAGCUAAAUGCGGAAGAGAUAAGUGCUGAAAGCAUCUAAGCACGAAACUUGCCCCGAGAUGAGUUCUCCCUGAGACUUAGAGUCUCCUGAAGGAACGUUGAAGACGACGACGUUGAUAGGCCGGGUGUGUAAGCGCAGCGAUGCGUUGAGCUAACCGGUACUAAUGAACCGUGAGGCUUAACCUU